AACGCGAAGAACCUUACCAAGUCUUGACAUCCCCCUGACCGUUCCGUAAUGGGAACUUCUCUUCGGAGCAGGGGAGACAGGUGGUGCAUGGUUGUCGUCAGCUCGUGUCGUGAGAUGUUGGGUUAAGUCCCGCAACGAGCGCAACCCUUAUCCUUAGUAGCCAGCAGGUAAAGCUGGGCACUCUAGGGAGACUGCCAGGGAGAACCUGGAGGAAGGUGGGGAUGACGUCAAAUCAUCAUGCCCCUUAUGACUUGGGCUACACACGUGCUACAAUGGCGUAAACAAAGGGAAGCAGCCCUGUGAAGGUGAGCAAAUCCCAAAAAUAACGUCUCAGUUCGGAUUGUAGUCUGUAACUCGACUACAUGAAGCUGGAAUCGCUAGUAAUCGCGGAUCAGAAUGCCGCGGUGAAUACGUUCCCGGGUCUUGUACACACCG
RNAcentral lists this ribosomal RNA (435 nucleotides) under uncultured bacterium. Its description in RNAcentral is "bacterial SSU rRNA". It matches the Rfam family "Bacterial small subunit ribosomal RNA", at positions 958 to 1392 of the family's 1533-position model. The record is from RNAcentral.